This is a long non-coding RNA of Dermochelys coriacea (leatherback sea turtle), 193 nucleotides long. RefSeq lists it as uncharacterized. The transcript has 3 exons. NCBI's taxonomy places the organism in Eukaryota, Metazoa, Chordata, Testudines, Dermochelyidae. The record is from RefSeq and is a predicted model, not a curated record.
GUACCUAGCAAUGAGGACUCCCAGUACCCACUGCACUCAACACCCAUCCCUCUGCUGUUUAGCCCUGCUGAAAUACAGUACCCACUACACUGUACUCCAAAGGAGAAGAUUGGAUAUGACCCCUGGACAUACACAAAUUUUUAACUGUCCGAGGACCCCACCUCCUCCUGAGACCUUCCCUUCCCCCAUCCCC